RNAcentral lists this ribosomal RNA (468 nucleotides) under uncultured bacterium. RNAcentral describes it as "partial 16S ribosomal RNA". It matches the Rfam family "Bacterial small subunit ribosomal RNA", at positions 28 to 507 of the family's 1533-position model. The record is from RNAcentral.
GACGAACGCUGGCGGCGUGCUUAACACAUGCAAGUCGAACGGAAAGGCCCUGCUUUUGUGUUGUGCUCGAGUGGCGAACGGGUGAGUAACACGUGAGUAACCUGCCCUUGUCUGUGGGAUAACUUCAGGAAACUGGGGCUAAUACAGGGUAGAAUCUCCUGCUGCAUGGGGGGGGAUGGAAAGUUUCGGCGUUUGGGGAUGGUCUCGCUGGUUAUCAGCUUGAUUGUCGGGUAGUUGUGUUCCAAGGCUUUGAAGGGUAGCCGGCCUGAGAGGUUGAACGGCCACAUUGGGACUGCGAUACGGAGCAGACUCCUACCGGCGGCAGCAGUCGGGAACCUUGCACAACGGGGGGAAGCCUGAUGUAGAAACGUCGCGUGCGGGAUGCCGGCUUACGGGUUGUAAACAGAUGUCGACUUAGCCGAAGCGUGAGUGACGGUAACGGGUAAAGAAGCAACGGCUAACUACGUG